GCCAGCCACAGACCUUGGACGGCGGCGGAGCUCCAGGCCCAGGCUCCAACUGACCUCCCUCCUGCUCCAGCUGGCCACACUAACAAGAGCCAGGGCACAAGAUUCACCCAGUCUUCAGCAGGGAUGCUCACAGAGCUGGGCCAAAGCUUUCUACCUAGGCUGUCCCCUGGAGAGCCCAUGAGGCAGGUGGGGAAGGCCAGGGCCCCAAGGGGUGGCCCAGGGGGUGGAGAGGAGGCUGAGAGCUGACCCCAGCCACUUGGGGACUCAGGGGACCUGCCUGUGAGCUGCCCUGCUGCCCCCUC
This 302-nucleotide long non-coding RNA is filed under the name Cavia porcellus (domestic guinea pig). RNAcentral describes it as "lncRNA (ENSCPOG00000035550.1)". Lineage: Eukaryota; Metazoa; Chordata; Mammalia; Rodentia; Caviidae. The record is from RNAcentral.